CUACGGGUCGCUCCAGUGGGGAAUAUUGGACAAUGGACCAAAAGUCUGAUCCAGCAAUUCUGUGUGCACGAUGACGGUUUUCGGAUUGUAAAGUGCUUUCAACAGGGAGGAAGUUCUGACGGUACCUGUAGAAGAAGCGACGGCUAAAUACGUGCCAGCAGCCGCGGUAAUACGUAUGUCGCAAGCGUUAUCCGGAUUUAUUGGGCAUAAAGGGCAUCUAGGCGGCUUAGUAAGUCUGAUGUGAAAAUGCGGGGCUCAACUCCGUAUUGCGUUGGAAACUACUAAGCUAGAGUAUUGGAGAGGUAGGCGGAACUACAGGUGUAGAGGUGAAAUUCGUAGAUAUAUGUAGGAAUGCCGAUGACGAAGGUAGCUUACUGGACAAUUACUGACGCUGAAGUGCGAAAGCUAGGGGAGCAAACAGGAUUAGAUACCCUUGUAGUC
RNAcentral lists this ribosomal RNA (441 nucleotides) under uncultured bacterium. RNAcentral's name for it is "partial 16S ribosomal RNA". It matches the Rfam family "Bacterial small subunit ribosomal RNA", at positions 339 to 795 of the family's 1533-position model. The record is from RNAcentral.